AGCAAUUGAUAGAAAUGUUAUUAGUAACCAUUGAAUAAAUGCAUCAGUCGGUGCGCAGCUCCCGAAUAGUAAACAUCUCUGCUGAUAAUUAUUUUGCUCUCAACAACCAUUGUGGUAGUCAACUACCAACUACCAAAUUUUCGAUUUACAAUACCAACUGUCGGCUAUCAAUUAUCAGAUAACAAAUAAUUAUUAUUUGCCUGGUGUUGAUUUGAUCACAGUAGCAUUGGAAUUUACGCUGUCGACAAUUUCGAGGUUAAUUUUUAUUUUUGGAACAGACAGACGGACAGGCAAAGCGUCCACAAUAGGUUCUUUUUAUAAGGAGACCCAGUAGCUAUCGAUUGAGUAUAGUGAAACACGAGUCCAAAGGCUGACUUCUGGUAGCUCUGGAACAAAGUCCUUUGUAUGGGAUGAAAAAUUCUAGAAGCUAUAUCUCUGGCCAGGAGGCUCGGACCCAUGAGGUACUUUGGAUUUUGAAGUCUUAAUUUACAAGCUUUCAAAAGAUUAUAAGAAGAAGACGUCGAUCCGAGGCUUCCUUCUCAUAGCUCCAAAACAAAUACGAGUAAUUGUUACAACGAGACCAGAUAAAUACGAUUUGACAAUUACCUUACUUCAUGUAAGAACGAUUUAGCUCACAUGAGUUGUAAUGAGCUGAUGUGUGAGAGGACCCGUGUUCGAUCCUAGAGAUGUGCGGUUUUUUAUUUCAGAAAUACAACUCUCAAGAUAGAGCUUAGGAUGCGUUCACAUUUCAUGUGCUUGUUUCUCUCAUGUGCUGGCAUACCAGUAAUUGUUGCAGUCAUGAAACCUAAACAAUCUGUAAAGAGUCUGUUCAAUAAAAGCAUCUAUUUAUCAAAAUGUGUGUGUCACCCGCCUUCGUGGUAACUGUACUUUCAGAACCUUGGUCUAUUAUCCUCAACACGAAUUGCUUAUUUUCCAAAUAGCACUUACCCUAUUUGUCAUUGCUUUUUUAGGUGAUUCUUGACGGUUUCGUGAACGAGUUUGUAAAGAAAAAAUGAGUCGAACAAUAAUAACCGUACCAUGAACAAUGUAUAUAGUCCUCAAAUCGGUUUCAGCUUAUAUCUGCGACAGAAACGGCAAUCGUUCCAUAUCACCGGCCUGAAGUACCUGCCAGAUUUUCGCCAAACUAACACGUGAUUUUAGGACGCGAAACAGUUUUUAGUGAAUGACUUUGUGUAUUUUUCUCUCGAAAAUUUCAAGCCGGCUGAGCUGGGCUCAAAUCACCAGCGACUCGGCCUGGCCAAAAAAAAAAGGUAACUGCUAGAACGGCGGCUCUCAUGUCUGGCACUAUCAAAACAAAUAGUGUCAUUCGCGACGCAAAAGCUUGUGUUGUUGCUGAAAUGUGAAUGUCGUAGAAUUUUCGGAACAAUAUGUUCCUAAGCAUACUACGUGCAGUGGUUACCCCCUCGUCACAAACUGUAGAUUUGCUUGAACGGAACGGAAUUAACACUUGACGAAUUUCUUAGAAUUUAACGAUCGUGUUUUUUAUAAUGUACCUCGCAAUAUAACAGUUCCAAUCAGAAACACAAAGACAACACAGCGGUGCAGUCAAUAUCAGGGAGUGCAAUAAAAUGUUGAAGAAAUGGAUGAAACAAAUGGCAUUGAUGAUCGUAUCCAUUUUAAUGGUAUCAACGUCUGAUGGCUUCAGUUUAGAUUGUAAAUAUUCAGUGGUAAAGUGGGAUAUUGGAAGAAUGUACACAUGUACAGCUACAGUGAUUUUGGAUGGCGACACUAAAGACGUAACGAAUGUUACCGACAAUCACAUGGAAGGACGAAAUAACAGUGAUGUAAAAGCUGCACUUAUUUACAACCAAAAUUUAAAAUUUGCGCCGCGAAAUAUUCAAAAAUUCUUUAAACAUCUCGAAGCAUUUUCUUUGUUUAACAAUUCCAUUGAAGAGGUGACGAGCGAAUGUUUAACUGGCCUAGAACAGUUGAGAUAUUUUAAUUUCCUGUACAAUAACGUGGAGAUUAUCGAAAGCGAUUUGUUCACUACCAACCAAAUGAUAGAGUGGAUAGACUUUGGUUUCAAUCCAAUAAGACACGUCGGCCACAAUACAUUCGAUAAUCUACGUUCCCUUCAAACUUUAAAUUUUACUCAGACGACGUGCAUUGAUCAAUGUGGAGUCGACAGCGACUCUGUUGAAUAUCUUAAAACGCAACUCAUCAUCAGAUGUCCGCCAAAAUUUGA
Long non-coding RNA from Bradysia coprophila, 2206 nucleotides. Lineage: Eukaryota; Metazoa; Arthropoda; Insecta; Diptera; Sciaridae. The record is from RefSeq and is a predicted model, not a curated record.